UGGGGAAUCUUGCGCAAUGCGCGAAAGCGUGACGCAGCAACGCCGCGUGGGGGAAGAAGGCUCUCGGGUUGUAAACCCCUUUCAGUUGGGACGAAGCUUCGUCGGUGAAUAGCCGACUGGAGUGACGGUACCUUCACAAGAAGCACCGGCUAACUACGUGCCAGCAGCCGCGGUAAUACGUAGGGUGCAAGCGUUGUCCGGAAUCAUUGGGCGUAAAGAGCGUGUAGGCGGUCCGAUUAGUCCGCUGUGAAAGUCCAGGGCUCAACCCUGGAAUGCCGGUGGAUACUGUUGGACUAGAGUCCGGAAGGGGCGAGUGGAAUUCCUGGUGUAGCGGUGAAAUGCGCAGAUAUCAGGAGGAACACCAAUGGCGAAGGCAGCUCGCUGGGACGGUACUGACGCUGAGACGCGAAAGCGUGGGGAGCAAACAGGAUUAGAUACCCCCGUAGUCC
RNAcentral lists this ribosomal RNA (449 nucleotides) under uncultured bacterium. Its description in RNAcentral is "bacterial SSU rRNA". It matches the Rfam family "Bacterial small subunit ribosomal RNA", at positions 355 to 796 of the family's 1533-position model. The record is from RNAcentral.